This 569-nucleotide ribosomal RNA is filed under the name Dasysyrphus hilaris. RNAcentral describes it as "eukaryotic LSU rRNA". Lineage: Eukaryota; Metazoa; Arthropoda; Insecta; Diptera; Syrphidae. The record is from RNAcentral.
AGUACGUGAAACUGAUUAGAGGUUAAGCCCGAUGAACCUGAAUAUCCAUUAUGGAAAAUUCAUCACUAAUAAUAUGAUAUUUAAUAAAUAUUAUAUAAAUAGUGUGCAAUUUUUCCAUAUAAGGACAUUGUAAUCUGUUAAUGUAAUAAAUAUUUAUCAAAAGAUCCAUUACGUUAAGUUUAAUCAAAUUAGUUAUUUUCGGAUUUCUAACAUAGAUUAAAUGUUUUGGAUUUGAUAAAUCAUUGACAGAUAUAAUUAUAUAAUAUGCUGAAAUUCUUCGGAAUUUUACAAUGGUAAAUUAAUCUAUUGAUUUUUUUAUUUAUUGUAUGCGCUAUUAUGAUUAACAAUGCAAUAGAUUCAGGAUACCUUCGGGACCCGUCUUGAAACACGGACCAAGGAGUCUAACAUAUGUGCAAGUCAUUGGGUUAUAAAACCCAAUGGCGUAAUUAACUUAACUGUUUAUAAUGGGAUUAGUUUAUAUUUUGUAAUGAAAUAUUGAAUUCAAUCCCGGGGCGUUCUAUACAGUUAUGCAUAAUGAUAUUUAUAUUAUUUAUGCCUCUAACUAGAGC